GAUGAACGCUGGCGGCGUGCCUAAUACAUGCAAGUCGAGCGAACAGACGAGGAGCUUGCUCCUCUGACGUUAGCGGCGGACGGGUGAGUAACACGUGGAUAACCUACCUAUAUGACUGGGAUAAUUUCGGGAAACCGGAGCUAAUACCGGAUAAUAUAUUGAACCGCAUGGUCAAUAGUGAAAGACGGUUUUGCUGUCACUUAUAGAUGGAUCCUCGCCGCAUUAGCUAGGUGGUAAGGUAACGGCUUACCAAGGCGACGAUGCGUAGCCGACCUGAGAGGGUGGUCGGCCAGACUGGAACUGUGACACGGUCCAGUGUGCUACGGGAGGCAGCAGUAGGGAAUCGUGCGCAAUGGGCGAGAGCCUGACGGAGCAACGCCGAGUGAGUGAUGAAGGUCUUCGGAUCGGAAAACUCUGUUAUUAGGGAAGAACAAAUGUGUAAGUAACUAUGCACGUCUUGACGGUACCUAAGCAGAAAGCCACGGCUAACUACGUGC
This 497-nucleotide ribosomal RNA is filed under the name uncultured bacterium. RNAcentral describes it as "partial 16S ribosomal RNA". It matches the Rfam family "Bacterial small subunit ribosomal RNA", at positions 28 to 508 of the family's 1533-position model. The record is from RNAcentral.